CUCAUCUUCAUCCCUGAGGACGAACAGAAACACUUUUGGCAUGAUCCAUAUCGAGAAAAAACUUCCAAGGAAUCCACAGCAGCAAAGAGGAAGUGGAUUCCCUGCUCAACACAUAUAAAGGGAAACAACCACAUGGCCUUGCCGAAGAGCGUAUGCAGGAAAUGUUCACAUCAAAAGUUCCAGACUCCAUCCAGGCAAUAUUUAACAAUGUUGCUCAGUAACGUCAUAUAGAAAUGCCUCCAGUGGCUUUUGAAAAUAAGUAUUAAUCUCAAAAAAGCUAAAUAAAAUCAGGAGCUCCCGAAAUGUACGUCUUGCCGCUUCGGCAGUCAGUUUCGCCCCCAGGAUGGGGAACAUUGUAUUGCUUUAGCAAUGACAGCUGAUACAAAUCAUUUAUUAGUCUCCUAUUUUGAAUAAACACAGCUUGCUUUUUGUCUUGUUUAUUACCCUCUGGCAGGAAAUUGCUUAGCUAAAACAUAAAUAAAUUCCUGAGUAAUCAUUA
Bombina bombina (fire-bellied toad) is the source of this 499-nucleotide long non-coding RNA. RefSeq lists it as uncharacterized. The transcript is spliced from 2 exons. The record is from RefSeq and is a predicted model, not a curated record. NCBI's taxonomy places the organism in Eukaryota, Metazoa, Chordata, Amphibia, Anura, Bombinatoridae.